Molecule: ribosomal RNA, 497 nt
Filed under: uncultured bacterium
Lineage: Bacteria
Description: partial 16S ribosomal RNA
Rfam family: Bacterial small subunit ribosomal RNA
Source: RNAcentral
GAUGAACGCUGGCGGCGUGCCUAAUACAUGCAAGUCGAGCGAACGGACGAGAAGCUUGCUUCUCUGAUGUUAGCGGCGGACGGGUGAGUAAAACGUGGAUAACCUACCUAUAAGACUGGGAUAACUUCGGGAAACCGGAGCUAAUACCGGAUGAUAUUUUGAACCGCAUGGUUCAAAAGUGAAAGACGGUCUCGCUGUCACUUAUAGAUGUAUCCGCGCUGCAUUAGCUAGUUGGUAAGGUAACGGCUUACCAAGGCAACGAUGCAUAGCCGACCUGAGAGGGUGAUCGGCCACACUGGAACUGAGACACGGUCCAGACUCCUACGGGAGGCAGCAGUAGGGAAUCUUCCGCAAUGGGCGAAAGCCUGACGGAGCAACGCCGCGUGAGUGAUGAAGGUCUUCGGAUCGUAAAACUCUGUUAUUAGGGAAGAACAUAUGUGUAAGUAACUGUGCACAUCUUGACGGUACCUAAUCAGAAAGCCACGGCUAACUACGUG